This 484-nucleotide ribosomal RNA is filed under the name uncultured bacterium. RNAcentral's name for it is "partial 16S ribosomal RNA". It matches the Rfam family "Bacterial small subunit ribosomal RNA", at positions 29 to 507 of the family's 1533-position model. The record is from RNAcentral.
AUUGAACGCUGGCGGCAUGCUUUACACAUGCAAGUCGAACGGCAGCGCGGGCUUCGGCCUGGCGGCGAGUGGCGAACGGGUGAGUAAUACAUCGGAACGUGCCCAGUAGUGGGGGAUAGCUCGGCGAAAGCCGGAUUAAUACCGCAUACGACCUGAGGGUGAAAGCGGGGGAUCUUCGGACCUCGCGCUAUUGGAGCGGCCGAUGGCAGAUUAGCUAGUUGGUGGGGUAAAGGCCUACCAAGGCGACGAUCUGUAGCUGGUCUGAGAGGACGACCAGCCACACUGGGACUGAGACACGGCCCAGACUCCUACGGGAGGCAGCAGUGGGGAAUUUUGGACAAUGGGCGAAAGCCAGAUCCAGCAAUGUCGCGUGUGUGAUGAAGGCCUUCGGGUUGUAAAGCACUUUUGGCGGGAACGAAAAGGACUGUGCCAAUACCACGGUUCGAUGACGGUACCCGCAGAAUAAGCACCGGCUAACUACGUG